Molecule: ribosomal RNA, 491 nt
Filed under: uncultured bacterium
Lineage: Bacteria
Description: partial 16S ribosomal RNA
Rfam family: Bacterial small subunit ribosomal RNA
Source: RNAcentral
AUUGAACGCUGGCGGCAUGCUUUACACAUGCGAGUCGAACGGUAACAGGCCUUCGGGUGCUGACGAGUGGCGAACGGGUGAGUAAUGCAUCGGAACGUGCCCAGAGGUGGGGGAUAACGCAGCGAAAGCUGUGCUAAUACCGCAUGUGAUCUGAGGAUGAAAGCGGGGGACCAGGCAGCAAUGUUUGGCCUCGCGCCUUUGGAGCGGCCGAUGUCAGAUUAGGUAGUUGGUGGGUAAAGGCCUACCAAGCCGACGAUCUGUAGCUGGUCUGAGAGGACGACCAGCCACACUGGGACUGAGACACGGCCCAGACUCCUACGGGAGGCAGCAGUGGGGAAUUUUGGACAAUGGGCGCAAGCCUGAUCCAGCAAUGCCGCGUGCGGGAAGAAGGCCUUCGGGUUGUAAACCGCUUUUGUACGGAACGAAAAGGCUCUGGCUAAUACCUGGGGCUGAUGACGGUACCGUAAGAAUAAGCACCGGCUAACUACGUG